UAUCCUACGGGACGCAGCAGUGGGGAAUAUUGGGCAAUGGGCGAAAGCCUGACCCAGCAACGCCGCGUGAAGGAAGAAGGCUUUCGGGUUGUAAACUUCUUUUGACAGGGAAGAGCAGAAGACGGUACCUGUCGAAUAAGCCACGGCUAACUACGUGCCAGCAGCCGCGGUAAUACGUAUGGGGCAAGCGUUAUCCGGAUUUACUGGGUGUAAAGGGAGCGUAGGCGGCCUGGCAAGCCUGAUGUGAAAUACCGGGGCCCAACCCCGGGGCUGCAUUGGGAACUGCCAGGCUGGAGUGCCGGAGG
This 305-nucleotide ribosomal RNA is filed under the name uncultured bacterium. RNAcentral's name for it is "bacterial SSU rRNA". It matches the Rfam family "Bacterial small subunit ribosomal RNA", at positions 335 to 655 of the family's 1533-position model. The record is from RNAcentral.